Molecule: unclassified non-coding RNA, 441 nt
Filed under: soil metagenome
Description: partial contains 5.8S ribosomal RNA, internal transcribed spacer 2, and large subunit ribosomal RNA
Rfam family: 5.8S ribosomal RNA (bases 1-120)
Source: RNAcentral
GAUGAAGAACGCAGCGAAACGCGAUAGUUAAUGUGAAUUGCAGAAUUCAGUGAAUCAUCGAGUCUUUGAACGCAUCUUGCGCUCCUUGGUAUUCCGAGGAGCAUGCCUGUUUGAGUGUCAUGAAUCCCUCAGCCCCCAUCGUUUUUUGUUAAGCGAUUGGCUUGGGUCUGGAUUUGGGCGUCUUGCCAAUGCGCUUCUUCAAGUGCUUGGCUCGCCUUAAAGAGAUUAGCUGGACCCUAUUCCGAGCUGGUUCAACUCGACGUGAUAAUUUCAUUCGUCGAGGUAUGGUCGGCCUUACGGCUGAUCAGCCAGGUGUAGGAAUCCGGUCUGCUUCCAACCUUCGUCUGAAGCCAGCAAUGGUGUGAAGCGGAAUUUUUAAUGCUCUGGCCUCAAAUCAGGUAGGAUUACCCGCUGAACUUAAGCAUAUCAAUAAGCGGAGGA